CGUAAGUAGGAAUGUCAACGAGGCGGAUUCUGAACGAAUGUUUAAAAACCCUGUGCAUAAAUGCGACAACCGAGUACGAAACUCAAACACGAACAUGAUUAAAAAUUCGAAAUUCGAAAUUCGAAUUCAAAACAACCAUUUUUCUAUACCAUAUUUUAAAAUAUAUUAUAUCGAAAUAUAAACUUUUUUUUUGAUAGCAUGCUAGCUGCUUCGUUUAUUUCAUUUAUAAAAAUUUAGAAAUAAACUUAGCAAGAAAUGUGAAUCAACUAGAAUUCGAACUUCGGUCUCGGAUACCAAUCACCAAGUCCUUUGCCACUUGCUCUAUGGACAGUCGAUUUAAAAUAUAAACUUAAAUAUAAUAUUCAUCAUUCAUAUACAAUAUAUAUAAUAACGUGAAAUAUUUUUCACUUUGGGUUCGUGUCGGAAAAAAGACAGUCGAAUCUAUAUCCACCAGAUUUUUUUUUUUCAUUUCUUUU
This 476-nucleotide long non-coding RNA is filed under the name Ananas comosus (pineapple). RNAcentral describes it as "long non-coding RNA (ACOM_LNC034898)". Lineage: Eukaryota; Viridiplantae; Streptophyta; Magnoliopsida; Poales; Bromeliaceae. The record is from RNAcentral.